UGGUCGAUAAUUUACUGCAGUGAAUAUUCCUUAUUUAUAUAGUUUGGAUCGAUAAUAUAUAUACUGAAGUAAAAUAUAACUUGUUCGUUUAGUUCGAUAAUCUGCCACAGAGCACCAUUUUAUAUUCGUGUAGUUUGGGUCGAUAAUCAACUGUCGUGUACUAGUCCUUGUUCUUGCAGAUUUGGUCGAUGAUCUUUUGCGUCUUGUUCCUUGUUCAUGUAGUUUUGGUUGAUAAUCUACUAUUGUGUACUGUUUCUUGUUCAUGUAGUUUAUUUUGAUUAUCUACAGCAGUGAACUAUCUCUUGUGCAUGUAGUGCAUGUCGAUAAUCUACUGAAGUGUACUAGUCCUUGUUCAUGUAGUUUAGGUAGACAAUCUUCUACCGUGUUCUAGUUCUUGUUCUUGCAGAUUUGGUCGAUAAUCUAUUGACUUUUUCUUGUGUCUUGUUCCUUGGUCAUGUAGGUUUGGUCGAUAAUCUACUGUUGUGUACUGUUCCUUAUUCAUGAAGUUUAUGUCGAUAAUCUAUUUCAGUGUACUUGUCCUUGUUAGUGUAGUUUAGGUCUAUAGUCGUCUGCAGCGAUGUAGUCCUUUUUCAUAUAGUUUAGGUCGAUAUUUUACUGCAGUGUAAUAUUCCUUAUUCAUAUUUGAGCUUGUCCAUGUAUUUAAGGUUGAUGAUCUACUAUAGUUAAGUAUUCUACUCCUUGUUCGUGUAUGUCUAUAUGUCACAGUGUACUAUUU
This 736-nucleotide long non-coding RNA is filed under the name Mytilus galloprovincialis (Mediterranean mussel). The record is from RNAcentral. Lineage: Eukaryota; Metazoa; Mollusca; Bivalvia; Mytilida; Mytilidae.